AGUCUGCAACUCGACUGCACGAAGCUGGAAUCGCUAGUAAUCGCGGAUCAGCACGCCGCGGUGAAUACGUUCCCGGGCCUUGUACACACCGCCCGUCACACCAUGGAAGUCUGCAAUGCCCGAAGCCGGUGGCUAACCACUUAUGUGGAAGGAGCCGUCUAAGGCAGGGCAGAUGACUGGGGUGAAGUCGUAACAAGGUAAC
This 202-nucleotide ribosomal RNA is filed under the name uncultured bacterium. RNAcentral's name for it is "partial 16S ribosomal RNA". It matches the Rfam family "Bacterial small subunit ribosomal RNA", at positions 1302 to 1500 of the family's 1533-position model. The record is from RNAcentral.